This is a long non-coding RNA of Triticum dicoccoides, 5126 nucleotides long. RefSeq lists it as uncharacterized. The transcript is spliced from 2 exons. The record is from RefSeq and is a predicted model, not a curated record. NCBI's taxonomy places the organism in Eukaryota, Viridiplantae, Streptophyta, Magnoliopsida, Poales, Poaceae.
GUCUUAUCCAUUUCGAUGGCGAUGGCGAUGGCGAUGGCGACGGCGACGGCGACGGGUUUCUCUGGCGACGGCGGCGGCGACGGGUUGAGGGCUGCGGGGAUGCCGCGGCGAGGAGGGGCAGAUGCUGCGGAGGCGACACAGUGAGGUGGGGCAGUGGCGGUUGUGCGGCAAGGCAGGGCAGGUCCGGCCGAGACGGCGCGCGGCGAGGCGGGGGAGUGGCGUCGCGGGGGAGGAUGGAGGACGCCAGAGUAGAGGACGACAGCUCCCGCCGUCGCUGCUGUCCGCGCACACCCGCGUGCUCGCCUCCGUCCGCGCCCACGCCAGAGCGCUGCUUUCUGUGCACGCCCGCGUGCUCGCCCUUCAGCUUGCCUCUGCCCGCACCCCACCACACGCGCGCCGACCAGCCCAGCCACCGGGAACGCCCCCUUCCUCCUACCCCCGAUCUAGAUUUCCCAAAACGCCUCCCCAGACACCCGUAGGGCGCCCCGUCGAUCCAGCUUCGGCUCCACAGCUGGCCAGCGCCGCACUACUGCCAAGGACGGUGCGGACACGCCGGCGGCGAGCACUUACCAGGUGACCAACACCUCCUUCUCUCUUCCUCUCAGCCUGCUGCUCACUCUGUAAAUACGCACUCGAUGUGUCUGUGUUCAGAAUUUCGGAUUGGGCUGUGUACUUGCUCUUGCAACUUUUACUUGGGGAAUUCUGAAAUUCCACUCGCACGUGUGCUGGAAUCGAGUCACUAAAUGUCGUGACUUUGUACAGGCGCCAAGGGGAGUUCUGGUACCUUAGGAUUUGUGGCAAUUUCUUUGCGAGUUGCUAACCAGACUUGGCGAAUUGGGGGCUUUAUUCAUGUGUUUGUUCGAGCUGGCCUGGUUGUGCCGGUUCUGCCUGAACAAUUAAAUAUUUGAAUGAACCAUGCAUAUCUGUUCGUAAUCGUUUUGCUCAUGUCGGUAUUUCUUGAAUCAAUUUCGUCCGCGCAAGUUCAUGUGUUUGGGUGUUUUGAUGCUAAUCAUGUGUACAAUUGUUUGAAAAUUCCUGUGACUGAUCGUUGUGGAUUGGUAUUGGUUUAAGCCUACAGCUAUUACUGGUAUUUCUCAAUGUGCAAGCUGAAAUCACAUUGUGAAGUGGUCAAGCGCCCUCUUGCCGGUGGACUGCUGGUCAUCAAUGCAGCACGUCGGGCUCCCGCAGCCACAACAGAGCGGGAACUUGCAGCAGCAUCUACGACACCCUCUCCACGAGCUGAAGGUAGGUCAGGUCAUAGAUGAGGACCCGGCGACGACCACCGAGGUUUUGACAACAGGCUCAUCUGCCUCGGAUCCGUCUCCCUGUUGUUCCUGUGCUUCUCCCUCUAUAGACACACAUUGUCGAGCCGGUGAUUGGAGAAGGAUGGGGAGGCGAUGGAUAUGGAUACGGAGUCAGUGGAUGAAGAUGAUGUCAUGGCUGGGCUGAUUUCUAUUCAUCGUGUACCGCCACCUGCUCGCGUUUCUGUCUCUCGCCUAGAACCAUCAGCUAGAGGACAUGUAUUGUGCUGCUACCGGGGCCUUGACCUCAUAUUUAUCGGGCAUCUAAUUUGUUGCAAUUUGUCUCAACUAAACCCCACAUCUCACAUCUGUCUUUAGGUUUGCCCCCGUACUCCAACUGCAAGUGAGCAGCUUACUUGUGCAGAAGAAAAAGAAAGAGAAACCAUCUCCCAAGGGACACUCCUAGUUCAAGAUGAGCAUGAAGCUGAUAUACUAAACUACCAUCUCAAGAUACUCCCUCUGUUAACAUACUGAAUGUUGUUAAUGAUAAGGCAGUAAUUGAAGUUCCUCCUUGACGAACUAGCAAGAUAGUAGCACAGUUUCUCCAGUGUAAUCAAGCCCAACAACGGCUGAUGCACAAAAGGAUGAGUUUGUCUUGAACUUGUUAUAUACCACUGAUUUAUCAUCAUGUUUUUCAUGUUGAUUUUUUUAUCAAAGUACUUCUAUUUUUUCAUUCCAAAUUAUCACUGGACAGAUUCUGUAGGCUUAACAAGGAUUAUUAUGAUAAGCUUUUAUGGAUUAUAUACACUGUAGAGGUUAUUCCAAAUGAUUUACACGGAAGAAAUUCAUAGAACAACAGUCCAAUUUAAAGGCAAUGUGUAGUGCAAAGGAAACUUAAAAUGCAUCAUUGCCCUGUUCUUUUAUAUAUGUGUCUGGACUCUACUCAAGCAGCCAAUCCUGACGAGUUAUCGACACGGCAAUAGAUGUACUCAUGUACGCGGCCCCAGGGAUGGUAUUGCUCUCUCCAAUGCCCAGACAGGCAAAGGGCAUUUUAAGGUCAAGUACCUUUAUUUAGGUCGUGGUCUGAGCAUACACUGGAUGAUGCACCCUUACAAAAAUCUGGUUACUCUUCCACUUUCAGAUUCAUUAGCAAACUGUUCAUGAAAAUAUGGAUAUUAUAUAUGUAAAGAUACACUUUUUACUUGACAAACGAAAUCAUAUAGGUUCAGACUAAAUUUCUGAUGACCUUUUUCCAUGAUGCCCUGAAUUUUGGCGAUGAGAAUGUCUGGUCAUACUAAUGUGUCGAGCAAAGAAAGUUACCUUUUAAUGUUUAAGUGUAUUUCCCCAUAAUAAAAACAUGUUCAUUCAUGAGUUAUUUCUUGAUUUAGUGUUUCAAAAUCUAAGUUCGCUGAGUAGCCAGAAAUGAUUGAAGCACUAGCUAGCUUCCAUACUCACUACUCCAGUGGUAUGUUUUUAUGAUGUUCGAUUCAUAUUUAUAUUGAUAUGCUGAAUUCAUCCACCAGAACCUAAAUAUGACAUGUCCCUAGAUCUUUAUUUGAACUGAUUUCUUAUAUGAGUACAUGUUACAAUUACUUAAUUAUCUAGCUUCUAGCUACACUUCCAUUACUAUCUUUUGUAGGCAGCUAGAAAAUGAACAUCCACGAUGAUGAGAUCAUAGAAGAAAUGAACCUGCUCAUCUUGACGAGUAAUCGGCACGGCAAUAGCUAUAACCGUGGCAGCGUCCCCCAGGUAGGAUAUUGCUCUCUCCAACGCCCAUAGUGAUGAAGGUGCAUUUUAACACCAAGUAGUUUUAUUCACAUCCUGGUUAAUCAAUACAGUAACAUUCAAUCAUGUAAAGUUCUAGGAAAUUGGGUUGACAGCUUUGUUUAACACUUAAAUUGUUUAGUCUGAUAAAAUCACGCCUCACGCACAAGUUAACUCUUUUGCCUCUUGAAUUUAUAAUCCUGUCAGUCUGUUUCAGGUGAAGUGGUGCUUGCUUUAUUGCUGGGAAUAAUUAAGCUUAUUGCAUCUACAAGUGGGACAACAUACAAGUUUAUGCUUAAACUUGACCAUUUUGUUUGUAUUUUUCCUUCCGUUGCAAUGCACGGGCAUUUUUGCUAUAAUAAUAGAGAGCUAUUGCUUCUUACCACCAUAAUUUCGUCCGUUUUCGGUCCAUCCGUCGUCCGUCCACUUAUUAUUUUCUAUAUCCGAGAUGGUACUAAUCUAUCUGAGCCACUUUCGUCCGUACGUAAACAAAAGCUUCAUUUGUUUGUUCCCUGCCGUGCAGGAUGUGUAUUAGGCCUGCCCUACACUCUUUUGGGCCUCAGCCACGGCCAAUCUAGCACUCUUCCAAUCUCAAAAAUACUAACACGUCAAGCUUCACCAAGGCCCAAGUGGGCUCCUAAUCAGCCUUUUCAUGUUAAUUUAUUCAUUAAAAAGAUAGUCCCACAUCGCUUUGUAACAAUAAAUCCCACCAGUUUAAAUAUGUGAGCAAGUUGCCUAAGAACAAGCCUUCUUGGGAGUUAAAUAAUUGGAGGAUGAGGCAUGGAUCUGUUGGAAAAACAAGAGAGGGACGAGCUUUGGCAGUGAGCAACAUAACAUUCAGGAACAGGAUUUCUUGGGAAAUUAAUAAGUGUGAAGGGGAAGAGGCGCAUGCAUCUGACAGAGAAAAGAAAGAGCAAGCUUUCUUGCAAUGGAAGGAGUAAGGAAGGACAUGCAAGAUUAUACAUGAAGUUAAAGGACAGUGCCACUGAUCGUGCCACCUCACCUAUAUACCAAGAGGUUUGGGUAAUUCAUUCAUCUUUAAUCUAAUUGGUACUUCAAUAAAGUACAAAAUAGUCCAAUACUCUCUCCAUGAACCAACACCCCAGUUCCUACAUUUUUUUAACGGCUUACGGAUUGACACUAAUCAUGUGCCCGUUUUCCAUGCCGAAGUCACAUGUAAGAAGGCCUCAAGUCCCUCUACUGAAAUCUAAGCUCAAUCACAGGUUUUCCCUUUCCUUCAAGUUGUCAUCUUAUUUCAGGAUUGGCAUCACUAAUAAUGAGGAGGGUUUUUUCCAUUCAAUCAAAUUAUAAUGCCGGCCGGGGAGGUCCUCCAUGAGCGCUACUGAGCCGACAUCGACUACUGCGACAAGAACGGGGUGAGAUGAUACAACCACCUUGUAAAAAGUGCAGUUACUAAAUUAUUUAUGCCAACAAAAACACUGCAGCUGUUAAGCAAGACAGGAAAAGGUUAUCUGCAUCCUUCAGCGCAAUUGGUUACUGCAAGAAGUGCAGUGUUUGUUUGAUGAGAUAGAAAUCUGAAAUUACAUAUGGUUCUGCAGAUGCAGUAGCAACUUAUAUUUCAGUUGUGCAUAUGAUAGCAUGAUCAACUCCCCCACCCCAAGCUGAUUUGAUUCUAUUUGGAUCAAUGGACUCACAAAAAGGGCAUCUUCUAAAAUUGUUACGAUGCAACCAUUUUUUCAGCUGGGCUUUGCAGUUAUCUCAUUUUCUAUCUUUUCUUGGUUAGUUCUGGUACCCUCCUUCAAAGACACCGGCUGAGAAGGCAGCAUGGAAGUUUGCAGAGGAAAAUGGAUUGGAUGUGGUUGUGGUCAAUCCAGGGACUGUUUUGGCCCCGAUGAUUCCGCCAAGGAUCAAUGCUAGCAUGGCCAUGUUUCUUCGCUUAAUCUUGACAAUGCUCUGGUCAUAGUUUAAGAUAUUUUUCAUAAUUUUCCAGAUAAAGAAAUUUCUAUAGUACUACUCUUUAAUCAUUAUUAGUCCCUCUAGAAUGUUUGCUGAUAGGAUAGCAAUAAUAUCAUGAGUAGCAGACUGAAGCAGGGGAAAUUCAUGAACUUGUGCAAACUGAACACAUUCUUUUCCCGAUGAAACCUUCAUAUAACAUCAAAA